RNAcentral lists this ribosomal RNA (253 nucleotides) under uncultured bacterium. Its description in RNAcentral is "partial 16S ribosomal RNA". It matches the Rfam family "Bacterial small subunit ribosomal RNA", at positions 524 to 776 of the family's 1533-position model. The record is from RNAcentral.
UACAGAGGGUGCAAGCGUUAAUCGGAAUUACUGGGCGUAAAGGGUGCGUAGGCGGCGCGGUAAGUCGGGUGUGAAAUCUCGGGGCUUAACUCCGAAACUGCAUUCGAUACUGCCGUGCUUGAGGACUGGAGAGGAGACUGGAAUUUACGGUGUAGCGGUGAAAUGCGUAGAUAUCGUAAGGAAGACCAGUGGCGAAGGCGGGUCUCUGGACAGUUCCUGACGCUGAGGCACGAAGGCCAGGGGAGCAAACGGG